GGGGCUGUGGCUCUGUGGUAGAGCGUCAGCUUGGCACUUGGGAGGUCCCCAGGUUCAAUCCCUGGCAUCUCCA
Molecule: transfer RNA, 73 nt
Filed under: Sphaerodactylus townsendi
Lineage: Eukaryota; Metazoa; Chordata; Lepidosauria; Squamata; Sphaerodactylidae
Description: tRNA-Ala
Rfam family: tRNA
About the family: Transfer RNA (tRNA) molecules are approximately 80 nucleotides in length.
Source: RNAcentral